This 1396-nucleotide long non-coding RNA is filed under the name Ficedula albicollis (Collared flycatcher). Its description in RNAcentral is "lncRNA (ENSFALG00000026808.1)". The record is from RNAcentral. Lineage: Eukaryota; Metazoa; Chordata; Aves; Passeriformes; Muscicapidae.
GGGGGGGGGGGGGGGGGGGGGGGGGGGGGGGGGGGGGGGGGGGGGGGGGGGGGGGGGGGGGGGGGGGGGGGGGGGGGGGGGGGGGGGGGGGGGGGGGGGGGGGGGGGGGGGGGGGCCCCCCCCCCCAGUUAACAGCUCGCCCGCGGGUGUGGUGACUUCGCACAGGACCCCACAAAUCCCAGCACACGCUGCCGGGAGCCCUGCGGGGAGCUGCGGUCCCGGCCGUGCCCCCCCCACCCCCGGCCCUGCCCUUAUCCCGGUGACACUCGUGUCCUCCUAUUAACCCUGUGGAGAGGGGACAAAAGCUAAACUAUGAUCCUGCGCUGCUUCCCCCCCAUCCCGCUGCCGGCUGCGUGAGCUUCACAUCCUCCUGCUAAGGCUGAAAGGAACAAGAACAAGAGCUGCUGAUGGUUUUUUUUCUAUUAGCAUUGGGCUCCUGUCUACAAAGAGCUGAUGAUCCCUGAGCUGCUGAGUUGCCAAAGCUCCUUGCCCAGGACCAGGACUGGACACAAUAUUCCAGCUGAGAAUAUUCCAGCUAAAAUUAAAUCUGGAAGGCAUGUGAAGAGAACACCAACAGGAAAGGGAAGAGGUGGUGGAUCCAAGGAAGCUCGGAACAGUGGGAUGGAAAACGUCUCCAGUGGGCAGGCACCUAGGACAGAAGAUCCCAGCCCUGGUUUGCUGCUCUUUUGCUGAAGCAGGUACAUUUUGUGUGGAGAGGGGAAGAGAUGCGAGAUGAAGGAAAUGGGUGACACACAUUCCUGGUGGUUCCUUAUGAUGGAAACAGAAAGGCUUCAGGAAAACCUGAAAAAGGUGUGAGCCUUUGUGGUCUUGGAGCGGUGCAGUCCUCUGGGAUUUUGGGAAUCUCUCUCUGAAGAAUUCCCUGCAGGGCAGAGGAGCCCUCCCUGCCGAGGGACAGUGGCAGUGGCAGUGUGUGCAGGCUGGGCCACACAAGGAGCAGUGCUGAGUGUCCAAGGCCUGGCUGCCCCAGGGAAUGUGCUGAGCUGGGUGUGCUCCAGGCCCACACUCAUCACCCUCUGUUCCCUGCUGCUUCACACUCUGUGACCCGGAUGAAUUUACCAGCGAGCUCAGCAGCCUCUGCAGUUUUCCUGCCUGUGCUUCUAACACUCUUGCCCACCCUAAUCCAACUCUAAUUAUAAAUCAAAUCAUACAACCUGCCUUCUCAAACUCCUGUCUCAUUCAGAGUUUUCUUUUAUCCUUGUUAUUUGAUGUUUGCUUCCAUAUUUUAUUUAUUGCAUAUAAUUCAAGUGCUGCAGUAAAUACAGAAUUACUAAUUGUAAUGGAUUUUUGUUACACUUAUCACUACAGUGUCUGAAUAGUUUUUAACCACCAUAAAUGUGUCUUCACAAUAUUGCAUAUAUUUUCUUUUCAUUUCACU